GCAUUGAUGGUCUAGCGGCUAUGACUGUGGCCUUCCAAGCCACCUACCCGGGUUCAAAUCCCGGUCGAUGCA
RNAcentral lists this transfer RNA (72 nucleotides) under Candidatus Methanofrustulum fimipullorum. Its description in RNAcentral is "tRNA-Gly". It matches the Rfam family "tRNA". From Rfam's summary of the family: Transfer RNA (tRNA) molecules are approximately 80 nucleotides in length. Their secondary structure includes four short double-helical elements and three loops (D, anti-codon, and T loops). Further hydrogen bonds mediate the characteristic L-shaped molecular structure. tRNAs have two regions of fundamental functional importance: the anti-codon, which is responsible for specific mRNA codon recognition, and the 3' end, to which the tRNAs corresponding amino acid is attached (by aminoacyl-tRNA synthetases). tRNAs cope with the degeneracy of the genetic code in two manners: having more than one tRNA (with a specific anti-codon) for a particular amino acid; and 'wobble' base-pairing, i.e. permitting non-standard base-pairing at the 3rd anti-codon position. Lineage: Archaea; Methanobacteriati; Methanobacteriota; Methanomicrobia; Methanosarcinales; Methanosarcinaceae. The record is from RNAcentral.